Culex pipiens pallens (northern house mosquito) is the source of this 1327-nucleotide long non-coding RNA. RefSeq lists it as uncharacterized. The record is from RefSeq and is a predicted model, not a curated record. NCBI's taxonomy places the organism in Eukaryota, Metazoa, Arthropoda, Insecta, Diptera, Culicidae. The transcript is spliced from 2 exons.
AAAUAGGCAAUCAAACGUCAAAAUUACCCCCCACUAGAGGGCGCUCAAACUUGGGGUGAUGUUUUCAUUAUAACCUACAGCGAGUAAAUUGGUUUGAAAUUUGAAAUUGUUUUAUUUCAUCAUAAAAUCGACAUUAAUAGCAAAUUAUACCAUUUUCAGGUAAGAAAUGAAUAGCUUAAUUGAUAUAAACAAAAAUAUUUUUGUGAUGGUCGAUUUAACCUGUUCAUUAUCUGAUUCAAAAUAAGGGAAUGUUUUAAUCAACCAAAACAUAACUAAUCAAUUGAGAAUGUAGAUUAUUCAAGUGGACAAUUAUUUUUUAAAGUCACUUCUACCAUAAAAGCAGAGAUCUGCUUGAAAAAUGAUAAUUGGAUUGAUUUUCAAAAUUAGCAAUCUAACCUCACUCUCGCGUUUUCAAUCCGGAUCUCAGAAUUUUCAAUGAAAAAGGCAACUUAGCAAAAAAAAUCAAAAAGUCAGUCGAUAGAACUUUUUAUUUCUUACCUCCUGUUAACUUUAUUUUAUUCCAAAAGAUCAAUUUUCUUUUAAAAAAUCUUAGAAUAGUUUUCACUCCCCUUUGCACUUAUCGCGCAAAACCGUAAACGUAACCUUGCACCAAAGUUCUCCUACUCGAAUGUAGGUGGCGAAUAGAGUUUUUAGCUUUGGUUUUGGGGGCCUAUAAACUCAAUAAACUCAAUGUGCGAAAAUUUCAACCGUCAUUAUUUGUUCUGUUCUACUAGUCAACAUUAGGUGUCGCAUGGUGUGAAUUGACCAAAUUAUACGCUCAUUUUGUGCUCUUCAUUUCACAGUGCAGCAAACGCCAGUCAUGUUGAAUGUUUUGACAAUUAAUUAAAUUAAUUUAAUAAUCGCGAAAAAUAUUAUUGGUCUCGUUAGAAAGUUUUGAGAAUUUUUUAACUUUCGGCGCAAGUAUUUCAGCUUUUUAAUGACUAAGGAAGAGCUGUACCGUCCACCUUCGAGCAGGAGCCGCAUCGAUACACCAACGGUGCUGUUCCGGGACGCGCAACCAUUGGCCUGUAUGGGUGUGGAGCGGGGUCGGAUCGACGAAGCCGACCUGAAUGCGGUCGUCUAGCCGGGUGGCAAGAUCCAGAUUAUUUUCGGCACGCGGGUGUUCCGGUGGCGCGCAUGGAUGGAAGAAGGAGAACCAAGAGGAUAGCACUCCGCUCAUUGUGAUCUCGAUGGCGCAGAUCAUAAUUCUUGAAUCUCUGGACUGUCGAGCAAUCAAACGCGGGUGAUUAAAUGUUGUCAAUCUGCUCCCGCAGAAACACUCGUUUUAUAAAAAUAAAGUGGAAAUAAAUAGUUAUUUCAGCAUGAA